Molecule: ribosomal RNA, 253 nt
Filed under: uncultured bacterium
Lineage: Bacteria
Description: partial 16S ribosomal RNA
Rfam family: Bacterial small subunit ribosomal RNA
Source: RNAcentral
UACGUAGGGUGCGAGCGUUAAUCGGAAUUACUGGGCGUAAAGCGUGCGCAGGCGGUUUUGUAAGCCAGAUGUGAAAGCCCCGGGCUUAACCUGGGAAUGGCAUUUGGGACUGCAAGGCUGGAGUGUGGCAGAGGAGAUUGGAAUUCCUGGUGUAGCAGUGAAAUGCGUAGAUAUCAGGAGGAAUACCGAUGGCGAAGGCAGGUCUCUGGGCUGACACUGACGCUCAUGCGCGAAAGCGUGGGGAGCGAUCCGG